RNAcentral lists this ribosomal RNA (253 nucleotides) under uncultured bacterium. RNAcentral describes it as "partial 16S ribosomal RNA". It matches the Rfam family "Bacterial small subunit ribosomal RNA", at positions 524 to 776 of the family's 1533-position model. The record is from RNAcentral.
UACGGAGGAUCCAAGCGUUAUCCGGAAUCAUUGGGUUUAAAGGGUCCGUAGGCGGUUUUGUAAGUCAGUGGUGAAAGCCCAUCGCUCAACGGUGGAACGGCCAUUGAUACUGCAAGACUUGAAUUAUUAGGAAGUAACUAGAAUAUGUAGUGUAGCGGUGAAAUGCUUAGAGAUUACAUGGAAUACCAAUUGCGAAGGCAGGUUAUUACUAAUUGAUUGACGCUGAUGGACGAAAGCGUGGGGAGCGAACAGG